RNAcentral lists this ribosomal RNA (1059 nucleotides) under Botrylloides violaceus. Its description in RNAcentral is "large ribosomal RNA". The stretch from base 681 to 1002 matches the Rfam family "Archaeal large subunit ribosomal RNA", at positions 2151 to 2715 of the family's 2987-position model. Lineage: Eukaryota; Metazoa; Chordata; Ascidiacea; Stolidobranchia; Styelidae. The record is from RNAcentral.
UUAAAGUAGAGUGAAAGAGAUUUAAGAAUUUUUUAGUUUGUAGUAAGUAAUUAGUUUUAGUGAAUUAAGGUCACGAAAUUUUAGUUUUUACCUUUAGUAUAAUGGUGCUAAGAAAGAAGCUUGACAGAAGGUUGAGGUCACUAAAUGAAAAGGUAAUAUCAUCUGUAUGAAAGGGAUGUUGCAAUAUCCUUUUUGAAGGAGGUAAGUUUAAAAUAAGAAUCGUUUUUUAUUAUAAAUUGGGAAUGUAGAAAAUAAUCUUUAAGGUUGAGGGCUUAAAGGGACAGCUUUUAAGUCACAAAUGGUAAUCACUUAUUAAAUAAAAAAUUUUUUAAGAUUUUUAUUGUUGUGUUGGAGAAUAUGUUUUAAGUAUUUUGCAAAAAGUAUAAUUUAUUUUAUUUAGGUGAAAUUUUAAAUAAAGUUUGAAGGAGAAUUAAAAGAGGAAUUUGGCAAGUAUUUAAAAAAGUUUUCAGCAAAUAGGUUUACUAAAAACUAAGUUGGCCGAGGGACUGAUGGCCAAUGAAAUCUGCUCAAUGUGAGGCGAAAUAAAUAGCAACUUAAGGUUUUAAUGUAGCGUAAUAAUUUGUCUAUUAAUUGUAGUCUAGUGAAAGGUUGAAAUUUGUUGACUCUCUCUUUUUUAAUUAUUUUGAAAUUCCUAGGAAGUGAAAAUGCUUUCCCAAAAAUAAAAGAAAAAAAGACCCUAGGUAGUUAAAGUUAAUUAGGCUGAAAAAGGAUUUCAAUUUGAGAGGCUUUUGCUGGGGUAGCGACAGUUUAUUGUUUAAUUCCUGUGUGUUUAUGUUUAAAUCUAAAUUUAAAAGAUUACUAACCCUAGGGAUAACAGCGCAAUCAACAAGGAGAGUUCAUAUUAAUUUGUUGGUUUACGACCUCGAUGUCGACUUAUAAUAAGAUUAGGCGCAGCGGCUUAAGACUUGUGUUUGUUCACCACAUAGUAUUUUACGUGAGUUGGGUUAAGAACGGGGCAACUUAGUUUGGAUUUUUUCUUUACGUUAGGUUACCUAUUAGUACGAAAGGAAGUUAGGGUAGGCGUGAGCCGUGGAAAAA